GAAGUUUUCUUCGGAAAACGGAUUAGCGGCGGACGGGUGAGUAACACGUGGGCAACCUGCCUUAUAGAGGGGAAUAGCCUUCCGAAAGGAAGAUUAAUACCGCAUAAUAUUAUCGAAUGGCAUCAUUUGAUAAUCAAAGGAGCAAUCCGCUAUAAGAUGGGCCCGCGUCGCAUUAGUUAGUUGGUGGGGUAAUGGCCUACCAAGACGACGAUGCGUAGCCGACCUGAGAGGGUGAUCGGCCACAUUGGGACUGAGACACGGCCCAGACUCCUACGGGAGGCAGCAGUGGGGAAUAUUGCACAAUGGGGGAAACCCUGAUGCAGCAACGCCGCGUGAGCGAUGAAGGUCUUCGGAUCGUAAAGCUCUGUCUUUAGGGAUGAUAAUGACAGUACCUAAGGAGGAAGCCACGGCUAACUACGUGCCAGCAGCCGCGGUAAUACGUAGGUGGCAAGCGUUAUCCGGAAUUAUUGGGCGUAAAGGGAGCGUAGGCGGAUAUUUAAGUGGGAUGUGAAAUACAUGAGCUCAACUCGUGUGCUGCAUUCCAAACUGGAUAUCUAGAGUGCAGGAGAGGAGAGUGGAAUUCCUAGUGUAGCGGUGAAAUGCGUAGAGAUUAGGAAGAACACCAGUGGCGAAGGCGACUCUCUGGACUGUAACUGACGCUGAGCUCGAAAGCGUGGGGAGCGAACAGGAUUAGAUACCCUGGUAGUCCACGCCGUAAACGAUGA
RNAcentral lists this ribosomal RNA (725 nucleotides) under uncultured bacterium. RNAcentral describes it as "bacterial SSU rRNA". It matches the Rfam family "Bacterial small subunit ribosomal RNA", at positions 70 to 812 of the family's 1533-position model. The record is from RNAcentral.